AGAGAGUUGGCUGAGUGGUUUAAAGCGGUUAGCUAGAGUCUAAUUAAUAAUUUUUAUUCAUGCGUUCGAAUCGCAUACUUUCUG
Chaetomium globosum CBS 148.51 is the source of this 84-nucleotide non-coding RNA. The record is from Rfam. NCBI's taxonomy places the organism in Eukaryota, Fungi, Ascomycota, Sordariomycetes, Sordariales, Chaetomiaceae.